AAGAAAAGAGAAAAUAAAGGAUGUUUUACAAUCUAACUUAACUAACCACCCACUGUACUUAAUACCAACACCUUGCCUUAAGAAAAAAAGUCCACAUUUUUCCGUUUCGUAUAUCUCGACGAAAUCGCUUACAAUCGAAGCUAAUUGAUAAGGAGGCCGAAUUCGUAGAUCAGAAUCCUCCGAUCGCGUGAAAAAUAUGGCCAAUGAUGUCGAAGCUAAAGGAUUCAACCCAGGCUUGAUUGUCUUGCUUCUUAUUGGUGGGCUCGUGUUGGCGUUUCUUAUUGGAAACUAUGUCCUUUAUGUGUAUGCCCAGAAAACCCUUCCUCCAAAGAAAAAGAAGCCACUCUCCAAGAAGAAGAUGAAGAGGGAAAGGCUGAAGCAGGGUGUAUCGGCACCCGGAGAGUAAUUGUUUAGACACAUUGGAGGAUAUUCCCCUUGUUCAUGUUGAAGAGAGAAUAUGUCUGAGUUAUUCAGCAGCACUUUAAUCAGAUGGUUGUACUUUUUAAGGUUAAUACUUUCCUGUCACCAUUGUUAGAACUUUAAAGAUUGCCAGCUAACUGAGAAAUUUUCCUAGAAGCUACUGUUCUUCCUUUUUCGUUCUAGCAGAACUAUUGGGUUUUUGUUUUUCC
Molecule: long non-coding RNA, 629 nt
Organism: Nicotiana tabacum (common tobacco)
Lineage: Eukaryota; Viridiplantae; Streptophyta; Magnoliopsida; Solanales; Solanaceae
Source: RefSeq, a predicted model, not a curated record